GUUUUGGAUUUGAUUGAGAAAUAUUGGUAGAAGGGCUUUUCAUCUGUAAGUGAGGUGCAUCUACAGUAGGAGCUGGAGCUUCACAUAUGCAUAAAGGCAUCCCACACUUGCACUCUAUAACACCAGCAACAGAAUAAUGCUGGGUCUCUGUAUCUGUUUUGGAAUUUGUUUCUGUACCAAUGUCUAAUAUAGAAACUUUAUCUGUUACAGAAU
This 213-nucleotide unclassified non-coding RNA is filed under the name Hevea brasiliensis (rubber tree). The record is from RNAcentral. Lineage: Eukaryota; Viridiplantae; Streptophyta; Magnoliopsida; Malpighiales; Euphorbiaceae.